RNAcentral lists this long non-coding RNA (195 nucleotides) under Moschus moschiferus (Siberian musk deer). Its description in RNAcentral is "lncRNA (ENSMMSG00000001424.1)". Lineage: Eukaryota; Metazoa; Chordata; Mammalia; Artiodactyla; Moschidae. The record is from RNAcentral.
CUGCGAGGAAACGACCUGAUUACUGCAGCGCGCCGGGAGGGGCGCGCAAUAGGCGACCCUGGCUUGGGGGUGGCAGACUCUGCAGCGGGUCUAAGCCUACGUCCCCGGUCUUUAAGUCCGUUGGUGCAGCAGAUUUCAAGGCUGAGAGAGGAAGACUGCUUCUGAUCCCUGCAGGAAGAAGAAGCAGGAAAAAAA